Molecule: ribosomal RNA, 403 nt
Filed under: uncultured bacterium
Lineage: Bacteria
Description: partial 16S ribosomal RNA
Rfam family: Bacterial small subunit ribosomal RNA
Source: RNAcentral
GACGAACGCUGGCGGCGUGCCUAAUACAUGCAAGUCGAACGCAGUGGGGACGGGUGAGUAACACGUGGGUAACCUCCCAUCAGAGGGGAUAACACUUGGAAACAGGUGCUAAACCGAUACUGAUGGAUGAACCCGCGGUGCAUUAGCUAGUUGGUGAGGUAACGGCUCACCAAGGCCACGAUGCAUAGCCUAUCUGGUAGUGUGGUCUGCCACACGUGGACGUAGACACGGCCCAGACUCCUACGUGAGGCACCAGUAGGGAAUCGUCGGUAAUGGACUAAAGGCUGACCGAGCAACGCCGCGUGAGGGAAGAAGGUUUUCGGAUCGUAAACCUCGGUUGUUAGAGAAUCGGUACCUAACCAGAAAGCCACGGCUAACUACGUGCCAGCAGCCGCGGUAAUUC